Molecule: ribosomal RNA, 483 nt
Filed under: uncultured Bacteroidota bacterium
Lineage: Bacteria; Pseudomonadati; Bacteroidota
Description: bacterial SSU rRNA
Rfam family: Bacterial small subunit ribosomal RNA
Source: RNAcentral
GGGCCCGCACAAGCGGAGGAACAUGUGGUUUAAUUCGAUGAUACGCGAGGAACCUUACCCGGGCUUGAAAUGCAUCCGACCGGCGCCGAGAAGCGCCUUCCCUUCGGGGCGGAUGUGUAGGUGCUGCAUGGUUGUCGUCAGCUCGUGCCGUGAGGUGUCGGCUUAAGUGCCAUAACGAGCGCAACCCUCAUCACUAGUUACUAACAGGUUGAGCUGAGGACUCUAAUGAGACUGCCAUCGUAAGAUGCGAGGAAGGUGGGGAUGACGUCAAAUCAGCACGGCCCUUACGUCCGGGGGCGACACACGUGUUACAAUGGGGUGGGUACAAAGGGCAGCUACAUGGCGACAUGAUGCCAAUCUCCAAAACCACUCUCAGUUCGGAUCGGAGUCUGCAACUCGACUCCGUGAAGCUGGAUUCGCUAGUAAUCGCGCAUCAGCCACGGCGCGGUGAAUACGUUCCCGGGCCUUGCACACACCGCCCGU